UACGGGGGGAGCAAGCGUCGUUCGGAUUUACUGGGCGUAAAGGGCGCGUAGGCGGCCAGCACAAGUCAGUUGUGAAAUCUCCGAGCUUAACUCGGAAAGGUCAACUGAUACUGUGCGGCUAGAGUGCGGAAGGGGCAACUGGAAUUCUUGGUGUAGCGGUGAAAUGCGUAGAUAUCAAGAGGAACACCUGCGGCGAAGGCGGGUUGCUGGGCCGACACUGACGCUGAGGCGCGAAAGCCAGGGGAGCGAACGGG
Molecule: ribosomal RNA, 254 nt
Filed under: uncultured bacterium
Lineage: Bacteria
Description: partial 16S ribosomal RNA
Rfam family: Bacterial small subunit ribosomal RNA
Source: RNAcentral